Molecule: ribosomal RNA, 237 nt
Filed under: uncultured bacterium
Lineage: Bacteria
Description: partial 16S ribosomal RNA
Rfam family: Bacterial small subunit ribosomal RNA
Source: RNAcentral
GUUAAUCGGAAUUACUGGGGGUAAAGCGUGCGUAGACGGUUAUUUAAGUCAGGUGUGAAAGCCCAGGGCUCAACCUUGGAAUUGCAUUUGAGACUGAAUAGCUAGGGUGCGGAAGAGGGAAGCGGAAUUUCCGGUGUAGCGGUGAAAUGCGUAGAUAUCGGAAGGAACACCAGUGGCGAAAGCGGCUUCCUGGUCCAGCACCGACGUUCAGGCACGAAAGCGUGGGGAGCAAACAGG